RNAcentral lists this small nuclear RNA (107 nucleotides) under Phocoena sinus (vaquita). The record is from RNAcentral. Lineage: Eukaryota; Metazoa; Chordata; Mammalia; Artiodactyla; Phocoenidae.
GUGCUCACUUUGGCAGCACAUACACUAAAAUUGGAAUGAUACAGAGAAGAUUAGCAUGGCCCCUGCACAAGGAUGACACAUAAAUUUAUGAAGUGUUUUAUAUUUUU